UUUUAUCUCAGCAUAAGCAAAUUCAAUUUGCUUUAAUUCUCACUUUGAAGGAGAGAAUGUCAGGCUGCCUCCUGCUCUGUUUCACAGUGUGUGGCAUUGGUAAUGAGCUCUGACAGCACUCCUCCUGCCGCUAACUGUGUCACAUGAGCCGUCGGAAGGUGACUUGAGAUGUGAAGAAAUGAAGGUGCGGUGAAAUGUCCAGCUGUUAAGUGAAUUGGUAUGGUAUGGUGGCUAGUUCCAAAUGAAAUGGCUAAGCUUCACCCCUUUGA
Molecule: long non-coding RNA, 269 nt
Filed under: Homo sapiens (human)
Lineage: Eukaryota; Metazoa; Chordata; Mammalia; Primates; Hominidae
Description: HSALNT0092961
Source: RNAcentral